GAGAAGGAAAGUGAUGGAAGAAGGAAAAUGACAUUAUCAAGCAUGGGUGGAGGUGGUGACCAGGGUCUCCAGCUCACUCCCAUUUCCAAGCCAACAACCAUCCAACAACUCAGCUGCAACCGUAAACCCCCACUCCCUGCCCCGACAUCUAAGUGCUGAGCGCUAUCAGAAGUAAAGGGAAGUGGUCCCGGCUAUGAGGGACAGGGCCCUGAAAUGUGCGGUGGUUAAGACACCCCCACCAGCCUAAGGUGUGCCAGAGACCAUAAGUCUUCCCACUUGCGCCUUCUGAAAGUCGGUUCCAUCAUCCAGAAAAUGGGAGAACUGAGUUGAUUCUGAAUGCGAAUGUUUCAAAGUGCCCACCUGAGCCUGGGGCUAAGUACUACGGAGAGGAACAGCAUCACCCUGUAGAUCCGGGAGGGGACUGGGAAUGAUACUGGAGGCGGGGGUGGUAAUCAUCUUUAGAGGCCACACCUAUGGUUUUCUCCCGAGCCCCUAGCUUUAAGCUUCUCCCCGGUCCCUUGGCUGGAGCAUGCCCAGGUG
Molecule: long non-coding RNA, 540 nt
Organism: Perognathus longimembris pacificus (Pacific pocket mouse)
Lineage: Eukaryota; Metazoa; Chordata; Mammalia; Rodentia; Heteromyidae
Exons: 3
Source: RefSeq, a predicted model, not a curated record